This 492-nucleotide ribosomal RNA is filed under the name uncultured bacterium. RNAcentral describes it as "partial 16S ribosomal RNA". It matches the Rfam family "Bacterial small subunit ribosomal RNA", at positions 29 to 507 of the family's 1533-position model. The record is from RNAcentral.
AGUGAACGCUGGCGGUAGGCCUAACACAUGCAAGUCGAACGGCAGCACAGUAAGAGCUUGCUCUUACGGGUGGCGAGUGGCGGACGGGUGAGGAAUACAUCGGAAUCUACUUUUUCGUGGGGGAUAACGUAGGGAAACUUACGCUAAUACCGCAUACGACCUACGGGUGAAAGCAGGGGAUCUUCGGACCUUGCGCGAUUGAAUGGGCCGAUGUCGGAUUAGCUAGUUGGCGGGGUAAAGGCCCGCCAAGGCGACGAUCCGUAGCUGGUCUGAGAGGAUGAUCAGCCACACUGGAACUGAGACACGGUCCAGACUCCUACGGGAGGCAGCAGUGGGGAAUAUUGGACAAUGGGCGCAAGCCUGAUCCAGCCAUACCGCGUGGGUGAAGAAGGCCUUCGGGUUGUAAAGCCCUUUUGUUGGGAAAGAAAAGCAGCAGGUUAAUACCCCGCUGUUCUGACGGUACCCAAAGAAUAAGCACCGGCUAACUUCGUG